UACAGAGGGGGCAAGCGUUAUUCGGAAUUAUUGGGCGUAAAGGGCUCGUAGGCGGUCUGUCACGUCGGGAGUGAAAACUCGGGGCUCAACCCCGAGCCUGCUUCCGAUACGGGCAGACUAGAGGUAUGCAGGGGAGAAUGGAAUUCCUGGUGUAGCGGUGAAAUGCGCAGAUAUCAGGAGGAACACCGGUGGCGAAGGCGGUUCUCUGGGCAUUACCUGACGCUGAGGAGCGAAAGUGUGGGGAGCGAACAGG
RNAcentral lists this ribosomal RNA (253 nucleotides) under uncultured bacterium. Its description in RNAcentral is "partial 16S ribosomal RNA". It matches the Rfam family "Bacterial small subunit ribosomal RNA", at positions 524 to 776 of the family's 1533-position model. The record is from RNAcentral.